AACGAACGCUGGCGGCAGGCUUAACACAUGCAAGUCGAACGCCCCGCAAGGGGAGUGGCAGACGGGUGAGUAACGCGUGGGAACAUACCCUUUUCUACGGAAUAGCUCUGGGAAACUGGAAUUAAUACCGUAUACGCCCUACGGGGGAAAGAUUUAUCGGGGAAGGAUUGGCCCGCGUUGGAUUAGCUAGUUGGUGGGGUAAAGGCCUACCAAGGCGACGAUCCAUAGCUGGUCUGAGAGGAUGAUCAGCCACAUUGGGACUGAGACACGGCCCAAACUCCUACGGGAGGCAGCAGUGGGGAAUAUUGGACAAUGGGCGCAAGCCUGAUCCAGCCAUGCCGCGUGAGUGAUGAAGGCCUUAGGGUUGUAAAGCUCUUUCACCGAUGAAGAUAAUGACGGUAGUCAGAGAAGAAGCCCCGGCUAACUUCGUG
This 431-nucleotide ribosomal RNA is filed under the name uncultured bacterium. Its description in RNAcentral is "partial 16S ribosomal RNA". It matches the Rfam family "Bacterial small subunit ribosomal RNA", at positions 29 to 507 of the family's 1533-position model. The record is from RNAcentral.